Molecule: non-coding RNA, 72 nt
Organism: Phrynosoma platyrhinos (Desert horned lizard)
Lineage: Eukaryota; Metazoa; Chordata; Lepidosauria; Squamata; Phrynosomatidae
Source: the annotation of a GenBank genome assembly
GGCAGUGUGGCAUAGUGGUUUGAGUGUUAGAUUGUGGCUCUGGAGACCAGGGUUUGAUUCACAGCUUGGCCA